Hydra vulgaris (swiftwater hydra) is the source of this 1330-nucleotide non-coding RNA. NCBI's taxonomy places the organism in Eukaryota, Metazoa, Cnidaria, Hydrozoa, Anthoathecata, Hydridae. The record is from RefSeq and is a predicted model, not a curated record.
GUGUGUGUGUUUUUGUUUAUAAAUAUUUUUUUAUGUAUUUAAAAUUAUUUUUUAUAUAUACUGAAAAAUUUUAAACUAUUAGUCUCAAUUAUGAGUAACAAAAAUGCAAGUAUAGUAUCAAUGAAAUGAUCACAACCUAACAUGAAGUAAGUUUAUGUUACAAUCAUUUCAUUAACAAAUCUUUUCAUAAUUAUAUAAAGCUAUUUCUAUAAAGAUUAUAUCUACUCCAGUUAGUAAUUGCUCUACAUUAUUUAUACAAGUAGAAAUUUUAGUAGAAAUAACUAUGUAUAUAAAAUAUUGAGCAAUGAUUUUUUUUUAGCCUAACCGAAAGACUUUACUCAGUAGUAACAAUCAUCUAUCAAAAAAAAAUUAAGAAAGCGAUUGUAUGUUAAUUUAAAAAAUACAAAAGUAUUUUUUUAACUUAUAAAGAAAAGCUAUUAUAAAUAUUGACAAACCUAAAUCUUGACUAAAAAACUAAAGAGAUGUAAGAUGCACACAUAAAGUGAUUAAGAGUCUUAAAGUUAUAAACUUCAAGAAUCAGGUUAUUUUUUUAAGUUUAGCUAAUAUAUGCAAGUUUUUUAUAAUUUUUCAAAAUUGGUGUUUUAUUUAAUAUUCUUAACUAAAUACUUCAAUGUAAGUUUAUAUAUAAGAUUGAAGUGUGCAGUUUUUUGUAUUUUUUUUAAUAUCAACUUUAGAACUAUAAGUGAAACAUCACAAUUGUUUGCACAUUAGAGAAGCAAGUCCUGGAAUUAAAGAGCAAAAAUUUGCCAAAUAAAAGUUCAUCUGUUUUUAUUCAACAUUUUAUGUUAAAUAAAAUCAGAUAAAUGUUUUUCGAGAUAUUUAAAAAUGUGUAUGUAUUUUCAACAAGUUGCUAAAUAAUACAUUUUACAUAAUAAUAUGUUAUAAAUAAUACAUAAAACAUUUCUUCAACAAGUUAAAAAAGAAUUUCAUGAUGCAUUGCUGCAUUCUAUUGUUAUGAUACUCUAUUGUUAUGAUAAACUGUCAUCAAGUUAUAAGUCUAUUAGUGGAACAGCUCUACUAAUAAUGUUUUGGAUGUUCUACCAUAGUUUAAGCAAGUUGGAACUUAUGGAAAUAGAUCAUUUUAAAAAAACUUUAUUGAGUUAAUUAUAGGAACAUUAGUGUCACAUAAAGCAAAAUUCGAUUUGGUCGAUAAGUUGAAAGGCGAUCGUUUUAAGAGAAUAAUAGAAUAAAUAACUUAAUAGAAUAGCAAAAAAAAAAAACUACUUUAUUAUGUUUUUGUUUGCUUACAUUGUAAAUAAAAACAAAAUGUUUAAACUUUUAGUUAUUCAAUCAAAUCUAGACUGUUAGA